This 497-nucleotide ribosomal RNA is filed under the name uncultured bacterium. RNAcentral describes it as "partial 16S ribosomal RNA". It matches the Rfam family "Bacterial small subunit ribosomal RNA", at positions 28 to 507 of the family's 1533-position model. The record is from RNAcentral.
GAUGAACGCUGGCGGCGUGCCUAAUACAUGCAAGUCGAGCGAACGGACGAGAAGCUUGCUUCUCUGAUGUUAGCGGCGGACGGGUGAGUAACACGUGGAUAACCUACCUAUAAGACUGGGAUAACUUCGGGAAACCGGAGCUAAUACCGGAUAAUAUUUUGAACCGCAUGGUUCAAAAGUGAAAGACGGUCUUGCUGUCACUUAUAGAUGGAUCCGCGCUGCAUUAGCUAGUUGGUAAGGUAACGGCUUACCAAGGCAACGAUGCAUAGCCGACCUGAGAGGGUGAUCGGCCACACUGGAACUGAGACACGGUCCAGACUCCUACGGGAGGCAGCAGUAGGGAAUCUUCCGCAAUGGGCGAAAGGCUGACGGAGCAACGCCGCGUGAGUGAUGAAGGUCUUCGGAUCGUAAAACUCUGUUAUUAGGGAAGAACAUAUGUGUAAGUAACUGUGCACAUCUUGACGGUACCUAAUCAGAAAGCCACGGCUAACUACGUG